CGCACAUUGCGCCCCUUGGUAUUCCAUGGGGCAUGCCUGUUCGAGCGUCAUUUGUACCCUCAAGCUCUGCUUGGUGUUGGGUGUUUGUCCCGCCUUUUGCGUGUGGACUCGCCUUGAAGCAAUUGGCAGCCGGCAUAUUGGCCUUGGAGCGCAGCACAUUUUGCGCUUCUGGUCAUGAUUGUUGGCGUCCAGCAAGUACAUUUUCUCACUUUUGACCUCGGAUCAGGUAGGGAUACCCGCUGAACUUAA
RNAcentral lists this unclassified non-coding RNA (249 nucleotides) under Pyrenochaetopsis microspora. RNAcentral describes it as "partial contains 5.8S ribosomal RNA, internal transcribed spacer 2, and large subunit ribosomal RNA". Lineage: Eukaryota; Fungi; Ascomycota; Dothideomycetes; Pleosporales; Pyrenochaetopsidaceae. The record is from RNAcentral.